GAGAUAUAGAGGCGUGCAGGGAGCCGAGAAAUCGUGGGAAAAGUGAGUGCUUAAUGUUGUGUUGUGAUCUCGCCCCCCUAGACUAGGAGUGAGGUCCCAAAAAGGAUAAAUACGUUUGAAGGAGUUGAUAUACGUGGAGAUACAGACGGGAGGACGGAGCACGAAGUUAGCCCCGCACCGAGCCCCCCAGAAGGGGGACAACUGUUUUCGCCGCGGUUUGCUACAACUCCUGUUGCAAUGAUCCUCUUCCGUAGGUGAACCUGCGGAAGGAUCAUUGCACACACGAGUUGCAGCAAACCACGCGGCGAACCAACACGUUGUCCCCCCCCUUCCGGUGGCCUCGGCCGCGGCGGCUAAAUCCCGUCGCGUCCGUCGUCGCCGCGUCGGAAUACCGAAUGAUACCGAAUCACUUCGACCAAAUGACUUAGUCCCAUUUUGGACCCCUUAACUUCUAGUUAGGGGGCGAGAAAACGAGAAACAAAGAUGAACACAACUCUCAGCAACGGAUAUCUUGGCUCCUGCAACGAUGAAGAACGCAGCGAAAUGCGAUACCUAGUGUGAAUUGCAGAAUUCCGCGAAUCAUUGAGUCUUUGAACGCAAGUUGCGCCCGAGGCUCGACCGAGGGCAUUUCCGUUAGAGCGUCACCGCGCGCCCCCACCGAGCUCCCCAACCAAGGGAGGAGUUCGAGUGCAAUUGGCCGUCCCGAGGUUCCCUUUGUGGAAUCGGGUCGGCCGAAGUACCUUGGCAGACUCCGUGGCGACACGGCCCACGAUCGGGUGAUCCGAGCCCUUCUAAAGGGGCUCGGAAUUUUUCUAAGUGUGAGGCCGCGCCGCCCCGUGUGUCCCGAAGGAGGAAAGUGUUACAUGUUAAGUGUUACAUUGAAGUGAGCAGUGAAGUGUUACCAGAGUUACGCACCAGACCUCUAAUCGGGAAAGACUACCCGCUGAGUUUAAGCAUAUCAAUAAGCGGAGGAAGAUAGGAUUAUUGCCACCUAGUUGCGUAUACGGGUGGUAAUAUCGUUGUCCCCCCUUCGGGGGGCCUCUUGGGGCGGGAUAAAUCUACGCGCCUCC
This 1070-nucleotide ribosomal RNA is filed under the name Aulacomnium palustre. RNAcentral's name for it is "eukaryotic LSU rRNA". The stretch from base 492 to 644 matches the Rfam family "5.8S ribosomal RNA". The record is from RNAcentral. Lineage: Eukaryota; Viridiplantae; Streptophyta; Bryopsida; Aulacomniales; Aulacomniaceae.